RNAcentral lists this transfer RNA (66 nucleotides) under Metopograpsus quadridentatus. RNAcentral's name for it is "tRNA-Pro". The record is from RNAcentral. Lineage: Eukaryota; Metazoa; Arthropoda; Malacostraca; Decapoda; Grapsidae.
CAGAGAAUAGUUUAAGUAAAAUAUUAAUUUUGGGAAUUAAAGAUAAAGUAAUUAUUUUUUCUCUGA